This is a long non-coding RNA of Apis dorsata (giant honeybee), 507 nucleotides long. RefSeq lists it as uncharacterized. The transcript has 2 exons. The record is from RefSeq and is a predicted model, not a curated record. NCBI's taxonomy places the organism in Eukaryota, Metazoa, Arthropoda, Insecta, Hymenoptera, Apidae.
GAAAUCGAUUUUCCACGAAAACGAAACGAACGAGACUUUACAACCAAUAUGGAUUUUUCGAAUUAACAAAAAAUGUGUAGAUAAUUGUAUAUUAUCAAGUGAUUACAUACGAUGAAACUCGUCAAUAUUUUUCCCAUGAUUAGAAUGAUUGCAUGAAGAUAAUUGUAUCAAUUACGUGCAAUUUUGUCGGCAGAGUUUAAAUCCAAAAUGGCGAUUAGUUGUUUGGCUAUCGAGGAAUCCGCUUUCACAGAUAAACGCCGAAUUAAUUCACUGCUCUCUGUUUUCAUACGAUAGAUAUUAUUCGCUCGUAUCCUUUUAUUGUAAUAUGAAUUGGCCGAUUGCCAAAAACGAUUUUAUUACUUUUAUGUUCGGUGAAAAAUUGAUGGAAUAUUUCAUUUAGGUAUGAAAAUAAAAAUUUACUCGAAUAAGUAAUAGUUGCAGUUUUCACGAAUAAUUUAUCAUUUUUGAUGAACAAGUACGGUUUUACAAACGAAAUUUCAAAAGAAA